CCUACGGGGGGCAGCAGUAGGGAAUAUUGCAGAAUGGGCGCAAGCCUGAUGCAGCAACGCCGCGUGGGCGAUUGAAGGCCUUCGGGUUGUAAAGCCCUUUUGCGCGGGAAGAGGAAGGACGGUACCGCGCGAAUAAGCCUCGGCUAACUACGUGCCAGCAGCCGCGGUAAAACGUAGGAGGCGAGCGUUAUCCGGAUUUACUGGGCGUAAAGCGCGUGCAGGCGGCCCGGCAAGUUGGCUGUGAAAGCCCCCGGCUCAACCGGGGGAGGUCGGUCAAAACUGCCGGUGCUAGAGGAUGGG
Molecule: ribosomal RNA, 300 nt
Filed under: uncultured Anaerolineaceae bacterium
Lineage: Bacteria; Bacillati; Chloroflexota; Anaerolineae; Anaerolineales; Anaerolineaceae
Description: bacterial SSU rRNA
Rfam family: Bacterial small subunit ribosomal RNA
Source: RNAcentral